Molecule: ribosomal RNA, 599 nt
Filed under: uncultured bacterium
Lineage: Bacteria
Description: bacterial SSU rRNA
Rfam family: Bacterial small subunit ribosomal RNA
Source: RNAcentral
CCUACGGGAGGCAGCAGUGGGGAAUAUUGCACAAUGGGCGAAAGCCUGAUGCAGCGACGCCGCGUGAGGGAUGACGGCCUUCGGGUUGUAAACCUCUUUCAGCAGGGAAGAAGCGCAAGUGACGGUACCUGCAGAAGAAGCACCGGCUAACUACGUGCCAGCAGCCGCGGUAAUACGUAGGGUGCGAGCGUUGUCCGGAAUUAUUGGGCGUAAAGAGCUCGUAGGCGGUCUGUCGCGUCGGAUGUGAAAGCCCGGGGCUUAACCCCGGGUCUGCAUUCGAUACGGGCAGACUAGAGUGUGGUAGGGGAGAUCGGAAUUCCUGGUGUAGCGGUGAAAUGCGCAGAUAUCAGGAGGAACACCGGUGGCGAAGGCGGAUCUCUGGGCCAUUACUGACGCUGAGGAGCGAAAGCGUGGGGAGCGAACAGGAUUAGAUACCCUGGUAGUCCGACGCCGUAAACGUUGGGAACUAGGUGUUGGCGACAUUCCACGUCGUCGGUGCCGCAGCUAACGCAUUAAGUUCCCCGCCUGGGGAGUACGGCCGCAGGCAAAACGUCAAAUGAAUUGACGGCUUGAGAGNGCGAGCGACGACGAGGGAGAGG